RNA transcript from Solenopsis invicta (red fire ant), 1949 nucleotides. RefSeq lists it as uncharacterized. Lineage: Eukaryota; Metazoa; Arthropoda; Insecta; Hymenoptera; Formicidae. The record is from RefSeq and is a predicted model, not a curated record. The transcript has 3 exons.
GUGCGUGUGCGUGUGCGUGUGCGUGUGCGUGUGCGUGUGUGUGUGUGUGUGCGCGCGCGCGCGCAUGUAUGUAUAUAUAUAUAUAUUCACAGAUGUGAGAUUGAUUUAAGUAAUUUAAAUUACGUUGUAAUUUUUGCAAGGACUUCGAAUCAUUAAAAUUUAAUUUUAAAACUCUGCUAUGGAUAUAAAAUCAUUAUGAUCAUUUUUCAAAAUAGCCCCACGAUUAAUCAGACUCAUGUUUAAAUAUAAUAUUCUUAUAUAAAAUUGCUUAUAAACUUGAUAAAUCAAAAAAUAUGCACAAAUAUUUAUAUAUAAAAUUUUAGCAGUUUUUGUGUACAGAAUAUUGUAAUAUUAUUAUAAUUAUAUUGUAUAUCUAUAUUUUAUCAAUAUGCAAUGCAAUUUACAACAUUGCAAUUCGCGAUGCUUGCCUAGCAAUACGCUAUCUGGUGGUCAAUUUCGGAACUACUGUAAGUACGGUCAGCUGUGGUUGUGUUUAUCAUUCAAUUUCGGACAACUAAAAAUAUUUGUGAAUUUUAUUCUUUAUAUCUUCAGUCAUAUCUGCAGAAAAAAAAACUGCGAUUUUUUCGCCCAAGAAAUCUAUAAAAGCAAAAAUAAAUUGCAGUGUACCAGGAUGUGAUGCGACUGCAAGUAAAGACCGAAAUUUAUCAUUUCAUUUAUUUCCAAAAGCAAAAGCUGUAACAGUAAAAGUUAAAAAUUAUUUUGGAAACACCGAAAUACUUGACUUGCGAAGUGUUUGGUUAAACAAGUUUAAAUUUGGGAAAGCUUGUAGUAAUACCAUGAAAGUGAAAAUUCAUGCAGAAAAGUUUUAAAAAAGAAUGCAAUUCCUUCGUUGAAUCUUCCAUCAACUCCCAAGCAUGGAACCCUAUGCUAAAACGAAAACCUAUAGCAAGACCUCGAGAAAAUAGAAGUCGUCGACAAAUAAAUUUUCAAAAUUGUAAAAAUAAGCAAUUGGAAGCACAAAGGUAAAAAGAUUUGGAAACUUGAUUUUGCUAAUUUCAUAUUACAAAUGCUUAACAUUUAGAAUCAGGAACUUAUCAAUUUGUGAAAAAAUUGAAUCAAAAAGUUGUAAAAAGGUAUAGUAUUGAUUAAUUUGAUUGAAGAUAAUAGAUUGACUAUAUUUCGCUCAGUGUGAAAUUGCAAGCUUGUUUAAUAUUAUUAUACAUAUAAGUAUUUGCAUAUUAAGUGUUUUUUAAUAAUUUUUUAAUAAUCUUUCAACAAAUGCAUGUCUUAUAAUUAAUGCUUGGGUGUGUUUUGAAAAAUUUGUAACAUGUUUUUUUGGAGUUUCUUGUAAACGAUUUUUAACAUAUGUUGUGUAUGUAAAAUGUUGCAUCAUUUUAAUUAUUAUAUUUCUAUUAGGGAAAUAAGUAACUGCCUUAUGAUUAACGUCGUCACUUCAGAAAAUGAUGCAGAGGAAAAAUCUUCCCAAAAUAAAGGAAAUUUCAAUUUCGAUGCAUGUACAUUUGAAAAAGAAUUAAAGGCAUGCAAAGGUUCUCUUUUAUCAAAAGCUAACAAAAGAAACGUUGACAUUCAAGUAACUAGUGGAGACGUACGUCCUCACUCUAUUCUAUUUUACGUAACUUCGGAUGAAGUUCUUAAUACAUUCACCGGUCUUCCUACAAAAGAAAUCUUAAAUAAACUAGCUCAAAUUAUUGAACAAGUAUUCUAAUAGGAAAGGCCAUUUAUCUGUAAAAGAACAAAUUCUUUUGACUGUCAUGAAGAAAAACAAUUUAGUUGGAACUCUUCUGUCCACCACAGUAACAUAUUAACAUAGCAUUUUAGUUGUAUUCCUAAAAUUGUGAUGAUUUCAAUGAUGAUAAUGUGUGAUUUUCUCUACUACUUAGUUUAAUAGAUGUUUAUAUCCAUAUAUGUAUAAAGAUAUUAUAUUUAAACUAGAUUAUUAAUAAUAUACUAAUAAAAAUAUGAUUUAA